Molecule: ribosomal RNA, 433 nt
Filed under: uncultured bacterium
Lineage: Bacteria
Description: partial 16S ribosomal RNA
Rfam family: Bacterial small subunit ribosomal RNA
Source: RNAcentral
AACGAACGCUGGCGGCAUGCCUAACACAUGCAAGUCGAACGAGACCUUCGGGUCUAGUGGCGCACGGGUGCGUAACGCGUGGGAACCUGCCCUUAGGUUCGGAAUAACUCCCCGAAAGGGGUGCUAAUACCGGAUAAUGUCUUCGGACCAAAGAUUUAUCGCCUUUGGAUGGGCCCGCGUUGGAUUAGCUAGUUGGUAGGGUAAAAGCCUACCAAGGCGACGAUCCAUAGCUGGUCUGAGAGGAUGAUCAGCCACACUGGGACUGAGACACGGCCCAGACUCCUACGGGAGGCAGCAGUGGGGAAUAUUGGAAAAUGGGCGAAAGCAUGAUCCAGCAAUGCCGCGUGAGUGAUGAAGGCCUUAGGGUUGUAAAGCUCUUUUACCCGGGAUGAUAAUGACAGUACCGGGAGAAUAAGCACCGGCUAACUCCGUG